GACGUAGGGGGCGAGCGUUGUCCGGAUUUAUUGGGCGUAAAGAGCGCGUGGGCGGCCCGUUAAGUCGGAUGUGAAAACCCGUGGCUCAACCACGGGCCUGCAUCCGAUACUGGCGGGCUCGAGGCAGGCAGGGGAGAUCGGAAUUCCUGGUGUAGCGGUGAAAUGCGCAGAUAUCAGGAGGAACACCGGUGGCGAAGGCGGAUCUCUGGGCCUGUCCUGACGCUCAGGCGCGAAAGCUAGGGGAGCAAACAGG
This 253-nucleotide ribosomal RNA is filed under the name uncultured bacterium. RNAcentral's name for it is "partial 16S ribosomal RNA". It matches the Rfam family "Bacterial small subunit ribosomal RNA", at positions 524 to 776 of the family's 1533-position model. The record is from RNAcentral.